AUACGGAGGAUCCGAGCGUUAUCCGGAUUUAUUGGGUUUAAAGGGAGCGUAGGCGGGAGAUCAAGUCAGCUGUGAAAUGUAGAUGCUCAACAUCUGCACUGCAGUUGAAACUGGUUUUCUUGAGUGCGUAAGGGGCAGGCGGAAUUCGGCGUGUAGCGGUGAAAUGCUUAGAUAUGGCGAAGAACUCCGAUCGCGAAGGCAGCCUGCCGGGCCGCGACUGACGCUGAAGCUCGAAGGUGCGGGUAUCGAACAGGAUUAGAUACCCUGGUAGUCCGCACAGUAAACGAUGGAUACUCGCUGUCGGCGAUAUACGGUCGGUGGCCAAGCGAAAGCGUUAAGUAUCCCACCUGGGGAGUACGCCGGCAACGGUGAAACUCAAAUGAAUUGACGGGG
Molecule: ribosomal RNA, 393 nt
Filed under: uncultured bacterium
Lineage: Bacteria
Description: partial 16S ribosomal RNA
Rfam family: Bacterial small subunit ribosomal RNA
Source: RNAcentral